RNAcentral lists this ribosomal RNA (721 nucleotides) under Streptococcus anginosus. RNAcentral describes it as "bacterial SSU rRNA". It matches the Rfam family "Bacterial small subunit ribosomal RNA", at positions 374 to 1086 of the family's 1533-position model. Lineage: Bacteria; Bacillati; Bacillota; Bacilli; Lactobacillales; Streptococcaceae. The record is from RNAcentral.
GGGGGAACCCUGACCGAGCAACGCCGCGUGAGUGAAGAAGGUUUUCGGAUCGUAAAGCUCUGUUGUUAAGGAAGAACGAGUGUGAGAAUGGAAAGUUCAUACUGUGACGGUACUUAACCAGAAAGGGACGGCUAACUACGUGCCAGCAGCCGCGGUAAUACGUAGGUCCCGAGCGUUGUCCGGAUUUAUUGGGCGUAAAGCGAGCGCAGGCGGUUAGAAAAGUCUGAAGUGAAAGGCAGUGGCUCAACCAUUGUAGGCUUUGGAAACUGUUUAACUUGAGUGCAGAAGGGGAGAGUGGAAUUCCAUGUGUAGCGGUGAAAUGCGUAGAUAUAUGGAGGAACACCGGUGGCGAAAGCGGCUCUCUGGUCUGUAACUGACGCUGAGGCUCGAAAGCGUGGGGAGCGAACAGGAUUAGAUACCCUGGUAGUCCACGCCGUAAACGAUGAGUGCUAGGUGUUAGGUCCUUUCCGGGACUUAGUGCCGCAGCUAACGCAUUAAGCACUCCGCCUGGGGAGUACGACCGCAAGGUUGAAACUCAAAGGAAUUGACGGGGGCCCGCACGAGCGGUGGAGCAUGUGGUUUAACUCGAAGCAACGCGAAGAACCUUACCAGAUCUUGACAUCCCGAUGCUAUUUCUAGAGAUAGGAAGUUUCUUCGGAGCAUCGGUGACAGGUGGUGCAUGGUUGUCGUCAGCUCGUGUCGUGAGAUGUUGGGUUAAGUC